This is a long non-coding RNA of Raphanus sativus (radish), 1230 nucleotides long. RefSeq lists it as uncharacterized. Lineage: Eukaryota; Viridiplantae; Streptophyta; Magnoliopsida; Brassicales; Brassicaceae. The record is from RefSeq and is a predicted model, not a curated record. The transcript is spliced from 2 exons.
UAGUUGUAUGUGUAACGAUCAGAAAUUCUGAUUGUUGUUAUGAAUUGAGACGAUGUUCAGUUUGAAAUAAUAGAUGGUUAUGCUAAUCAUAAGAAAUUGCAAAGAACUGAUAUUAACAAUGUAUUAUUCAGAUUUAUCAGAUUUGAUAAUCUUUUCAAAGAGAGAAACAAUGAUCGACCUAAAAUUUAGCCAUAUUGUUCCCGCAGACAAGAGAUAAACCUGAUCUUAAGAGCUUGUAAAUUUAGUAACGGCUUUGCUUCCGCCGUCGUUCGUGAUCUUUUUCUUUUGAACAUUUUCCUUCGUGAUCUUCUUCUCCACACCUUUGGUCCUUUCUCCCGCCUUAGGCGCUAUGAAUGAGAUAGGGUUUCGGAACAUGAGAGGAUCACUUAGAGCAUCUUUAUCGCACGUAUUUAGGAGGUUUCUUAGUCUAAUUAUGCAUAAAAAUAAAUCAAAAACACUAAUAAACACAAGAGGCGUCACUUAAUUUUGGCUAAAGAAGAGACGGUAUUCGGGACACGUGUAGGUAAAAGAGAGGAGAGAAGGGAGCGUGUGUCUUCGGUUUGUUUUCGUUCAGCUUUUUUUUUUUUUUUGUUCUGCUCUCUUUCUCUCGAAACCUCUCCAUCUUCUUCGUCUCUCCUAGAAAGCGAUUCUGUUUCUCGCCAUGGUUCCUCGACGAAACGCCGAUAAUCCCUCUCUUCGUGGCUCGUCGAUGAAACGGAAUCCUCUCUCUCCGUGGCUCGUAGAAGAAACGACAAUUCUCUCAGAGAUUAAGAGAGAGAUGUCAAAUCUUCAUCGUUAGUUCAUCGAACAAAGGAGGCAGAAGAAGGAUCCGAGUCUCCAGGUGCAGCUGCUGGAGUACGAUAUGAGGUUUGAGAGAUAUGGAAGUGAGUUCACGUUUUAUGAUUACAACGAACCUGAAGAGUUGCCCCUUCAGCUGAAACAUUGCUUCCAUAUAAUUGUUGCAGAUCCUCCCUACUUGGUAUAGUUAUUAACUUUUUUCUGUUUCUCUUUCUGAAAGUUCUUAGCUUGUGACAUUCAAGAAGCUGGUUUGAAAGUUUAAGGAUCUACUAGUCAUACAAAUGGAGCUAUAUCACUAGGUUAUUGCGACUUGCUUCCGUUUAUUUUGUUUCAAAGUACUAGUGUAAUAGUAGGUUAAAACAUUGAAUGAUUAAGGUUGUUGUAUAUGAUUUUUGCACUGGUAAAUGUUACGUUCAUUUGAUUUUGUGAGUU